GGGGAAGCGGCGCGAGCCGGCGCCGGGAACGUUCGCCGCGGGGGCGGCUCCGGGGCCUGAGUGGGCGCCGCCGCCUCGGUCGCUGCCGCUGCUUCAGCCGCCUCUGCCGAAGGGGCCGGGUCGGAGGAGGCUGCGGCCGCCGGAGAGCCACGCGACGGCCCCUCAGCUCCGGCCGGGAAGCGAGCCAGGAUGAUUGAGGAAGGUGGGAACAAGCGGAAGACCAUGGCGGAGAAGAGGCAGCUCUUCAUAGAAAUGCGUGCUCAGAACUUCGAUGUCAUACGCCUAUCAACGUACAGAACAGCUUGCAAGUUACGAUUUGUACAGAAGCGGUGCAACCUUCAUCUUGUUGAUAUCUGGAACAUGAUCGAAGCUUUCCGAGACAAUGGCCUUAACACCCUGGACCACACCACGGAGAUCAGCGUGUCCCGCCUGGAGACCGUCAUCUCUUCUAUCUACUAUCAGUUGAACAAGCGCCUUCCUUCGACUCACCAAAUCAGCGUGGAGCAGUCCAUCAGUCUCCUCCUCAACUUUAUGAUUGCCGCCUAUGACAGUGAGGGCCGAGGCAAGUUGACCGUAUUUUCAGUUAAAGCUAUGUUAGCAACCAUGUGUGGUGGAAAAAUGCUGGACAAAUUGAGAUACAUUUUCUCGCAGAUGUCAGAUUCCAAUGGCUUAAUGAUGUUUGGCAAGCUUGACCAGUUUCUGAAGGAAGCCCUGAAGCUCCCAACAGCUGUCUUUGAAGGACCAUCCUUUGGUUACACAGAGCACGCAGUCAGGACCUGUUUUCCACAGCAGAAGAAGAUAAUGCUGAAUAUGUUUUUAGAUACCAUGAUGGCUGAUCCUCCUCCCCAGUGCCUUGUCUGGCUACCUCUCAUGCACAGGCUUGCCCACGUUGAGAAUGUCUUCCAUCCUGUGGAGUGCUCCUACUGUCACUGCGAGAGCAUGAUGGGCUUCAGAUACCGAUGCCAGCAGUGCCACAACUAUCAGCUCUGCCAGAACUGCUUUUGGCGUGGCCAUGCCAGUGGCCCUCACAGCAACCAACACCAGAUGAAGGAGCAUUCCUCUUGGAAAUCCCCUGCAAAGAAGCUGAGCCAUGCAAUUAGUAAAUCUUUGGGAUGUGUACCCUCCAGAGAACCCCCACAUCCUGUUUUUCCUGAGCAACCAGAGAAACCACUUGACCUUGCACACAUAGUUCCUCCUCGCCCUCUGACCAAUAUGAAUGACACCGUGGUUAGCCACUUGUCCUCUGGAGUGCCCACUCCCACCAAGAGGUUACAGUAUAGCCAAGACAUGCCCAGUCUCUUGGCCGAUGAGCAUGCACUGAUAGCCUCCUAUGUGGCUCGUCUGCAGCACUGCACACGUGUCCUGGACAGUCCUAGCCGACUGGAUGAGGAACACCGGCUUAUAGCCCGAUAUGCUGCCCGCCUAGCUGCAGAGGCAGGAAACAUGACUCGUCCUCCCACUGAAGCCAGCUUCAACUUUGAUGCCAACAAACAACAGAGACAGCUCAUUGCAGAACUGGAGAACAAGAACAGAGAGAUCCUACAGGAGAUCCAGCGCCUGCGGCUGGAGCAUGAACAGGCUUCCCAGCCCACUCCUGAGAAGGCCCAGCAGAACCCCACGCUGCUAGCGGAGCUGCGCUUGCUGAGGCAAAGGAAAGAUGAGCUGGAGCAGAGGAUGUCAGCGCUGCAGGAGAGUAGGCGGGAGCUGAUGGUGCAGCUGGAGGGGCUGAUGAAGCUGCUGAAGGCUCAAGCCACAGGGUCACCACACACAUCACCCACCCAUGGAGGUGGCCGCCCUAUGCCCAUGCCUGUGCGUUCCACAUCUGCUGGCUCCACCCCGACCCAUGGCCCACAGGACUCAUUGAGUGGAGUUGGGGGAGACGUACAGGAAGCCUUUGCACAAGGUACGAGGAGAAACCUCCGCAAUGACCUGCUGGUGGCUGCUGACUCCAUCACCAACACCAUGUCAUCCCUGGUGAAGGAGCUCCAUUCAGGAGAGAUUACACAUGUGUCCUGAUUGGCUUUCCCAGUUAAGGUUAGCCCAGGAGCGGCGGGGACACAGGAAGCUCAGGCGCAGAGGCGGAGGAGCAAGCUGGCACCGACAAGACAAGGGAAAGUCUUCCCCCCAAGGCACAUUCCUCUCCGUCUUUCUGCUGCACACCUGGACCAGGCUUGCAGGCUGCCAGACUCAUUCAACCUCCAGAAAGAGGAGCCAAGCCUAUGGGAAAUGGGGAGGGACUGCCUGAGGCGGCAGCUGGUGGGCCUCCUGCAUGUACUAGCAUCUGCAUUUCUCCCUCAGGGCAUGGUCUCAUCUCUGCAUCAGGAAUUUACCAGAAGAUGGAAAAGAAAAGAAAAAGUGCUGAGCCCGUGUGUGUUCCUGACCAAAUGGGGUUCCUUCUGGCAUCUGGCCAGCACAGGGUACUCUCCCUAGUGUGGGCACACGCAUUUCUUUCCUACCUUUGACCUUUAAAAAACAACAUUUUCUGUCUAUGCAAAGAAAGCUGCAGGCCUUGUUCAGCUCUACAGACAUUUACACCCUGGCCUCAGUGCUAAAAAUAGUGCCCCCUUCCUCUUUGAACUGGUGAGGCUUCCGCCUGCACAGCGCUGUGCGGCACUGUUGCUGUGCAGCCAGGAGGCGGGCGGAGAACCUUGUGGUCCAGUCAGUGGGGAAGCAGCCCUGUUCUAUGUGCCAAGCUGGGACUGGCAGCCAGGGGGCGCACUGCCUGGGUGCUGCUCAUGCAUCCUCUCCUGGGGUCCUGUGAACAUGUGAUCACCACGUCCCAUUCACAUUGAUUUUCCUUUUUCCCCCUGCUCCCUGAGCUCCAGGAUGUUAUUUUUAGUAGAAGAGCUACUAUAAAUAUUUAUAAAGGGCAGCGACUGGAAUGAUGUGAGAGGGCCCACAGCUGGCACUGCAGCAUUCCCUACCCACCUCUGCAGACCCCUCCCUAAUUGUGAGGUGUGUGCAGAGCCAUGGACUGAACCCAUGGCCACACAUGGGUGAGGUCCCAUGAGAGUCUCCUAAAGGCGCAGUGAAGGGAGAACAAGGAAUGGAUACUGUUGCAUUCUGGCCCCAUCUGUUUCUCUGCCUUACUCCCAUUUCUAGCUGGAGUAAGUCAAGGCUGGGAGAAGCUAUAGGGACCUUGCUGGGCCAAGGUCCUCAGUGUCCUGGGCACUUGGUAUGAAGGGCAGGUGCACCAUGGAUCAUUGCCACUGUGAGGGUGAUGCUGGCCUCUGCUCAGCUGUUGAAAAACACUUGGCUUCCUGACCCACCUAUGGUUGGUUAGCAGGCAAGCUAAGGACUUGGAAGGCCAGCAGGGGUUUAAGGCUGCCUACUCAGGGAAAGGGGAUUCAGGCUUAUGGAUGGCCAGAAGGGCAAAGAUGAACAACUCCAUGUAGAAAGUUCUGGGGAUACACUACACACCCCAAUGGUGAAAUGCACUGUAAAGGUAAGACAGCCUCACAGACAGCUGCACAAACAGUACUAUGAGGGCUAUACUUUCCCCAUCCUCGCUUCUCACACUCUGUGUCAGGAACAAGGUAGAUUCCUACCUCCUGACUCCUGACAUGAGCAUGUCUCUGGAAAGGGUGAUGUUCACCUCACCCCUGACCAGAGUGAGGGCUGAGGGCCAAGGAGAGGGCUGCAUCCAUUCCUCUGAUGCCAGCAUUGGAGAUAUGCUAUCUACCUUUGUUAACAUCAAUUCUUGAUUUCUUUUAGAGCUAGAAUACCUAUUAUUAUAUAAGACCCCUUACAUUUGGUAUUUGCUUUCAAAGUUCUGUACCAGGGUCUUGCCUCCAUGACCUGGAACACAUAAGGCUAUUCUAUGGUAGGUACUUUCUUAUUAAUUUUUCCAUAGCAAUUUAGGAGCCUAAUUUAGUUCAGGCAGAUGAUCUGGCCUGGAGAGUCAGGCUGCUCUAUAGUACCCUGGUCUAAAUUGCUGCUUUAUGUGACAGGGAAGAAUCAGAUGCUCCCUGAGCCAUCUUUUGUAUAUGCUGAGGGAAAGAUUGAGAUGCUAGCUAACCUGGAACUUGCAAUCUUCCUGCCUCUAUGUCUUAAAUGGUGAUGGUCCAGAUGUGUGAGAUUCCAGAUGUGUGCCACCAAUCUGGCCAUCCUGGGAAGCCACUGUUCUCCUGGCUCUGGUGCUGUGUACAGCUGUCCUGAACUGUUCUUUAUUUACUGGUAGACUCCUUUCCUGCAUUGCAGGCUCCCUGUUCCUGAUGCCCACCAGCAUUAGAAGGUUCAGUUGCCAUGGCAAUACUGAGUCAUCUGAAUUCCUGCAGCAGUGUCUGGAGGAGAAGGGCUCACAAAGAGUUGGUUGGUGGCCCUCAAGCCUGGCCUCAGCCACUGUACUCUUCAGGGGUCAGGUGUUUGGUUACAACUGGAGUGUGGGAGGUGGGUGUUCUACUUGCCUCUGGAAGAUCCUGUAGUGGCAGAACACCCAUACCCUCGCAGGCUUUCAGAAAUGGAGAGCUCCCAGCAAGGAUUCAGGCAACACCCUAUUCCAGCAGUUCUCAAACUGAGCAUCCAUCUGAGUCUCCUGCGAACCUUGUUAAUGCCUCCAGAGUUUUUUGAGCCAGUUGCUCUGGGCUGGAGACAGCGCUUUGCAAUGCUGUGGAGCCUCGGGUCUUCUUGGUACUCAGCCUGGAGCCUGUAUUAUCAAAACCACUUUGAGCUUCUAAGAAGGGGAAACCAAUCCCACCCAUGCAGGGAACUACUUUUUAGUCAGGUAGAAAAGGUCUAGAGUCUGUUGUCCUAGAGAAAGAAGAGGUGGAGGGAACCUCAGACAUCCCAUUGUUUCCCUGGGCUGGAAGAAGGUAAUGUGUACUGGGGCUGGAGACCCCUCUACUUCAUUUGAGUGUCUUCCUUUAUAUUUACUUUUAAUAUUCUCCUCUCUCUCUCUGUCUUCCCUCCCUCCCUGUGUGCUGUGUGUGUGUACACAUACAUGUAAUAACAGGUGCCCACAGAAUCCAGAAGGUGUUGGUUUCUUUAGAGCUAGAGUUACAGGUAGCUGUGAUAGAAACCAAACAUGGAUCCUUUGCAAGAGCAGUGUAUAUUCUUAACUGCAGAGCCAUCUCUUCAGCCUGGUAGACUAAAUCAAUCAAUCAAUCAAUCAAUCAAUCAAUCUCUCUCUCUCUCUCUCUCUCUCUCUCUCUCUCUCUUCUCUCUCUCUCAUAUUUUUAAUGAUCAAUAAACUGAGGGCCUGGAGG
Arvicanthis niloticus (Nile rat) is the source of this 5204-nucleotide non-coding RNA. The record is from RefSeq and is a predicted model, not a curated record. Lineage: Eukaryota; Metazoa; Chordata; Mammalia; Rodentia; Muridae.